AUUGAACGCUGGCGGCAUGCUUUACACAUGCAAGUCGAACGGUAACAGGGAGCUUGCUCCGCUGACGAGUGGCGAACGGGUGAGUAAUGCGUCGGAACGUGCCGAGUAGUGGGGGAUAACGCAUCGAAAGGUGCGCUAAUACCGCAUACGUACUGAGGUAGAAAGUGGGGGACCUUCGGGCCUCACGCUAUUCGAGCGGCCGACGUCUGAUUAGCUAGUUGGUGAGGUAAAGGCCCACCAAGGCGACGAUCAGUAGAGGGUCUGAGAGGGUGAUCCGCCACACUGGGACUGAGACACGGCCCAGACUCCUGCGGGAGGCAGCAGUGGGGAAUUUUGGACAAUGGGCGCAAGCCUGAUCCAGCCAUGCCGCGUGUCUGAAGAAGGCCUUCGGGUUGUAAAGGACUUUUGUCCGGGAGCAAAUGCCUGGUGUUAAUAGCACUGGGAGCUGAGAGUACCGGAAGAAUAAGCACCGGCUAACUACGUGCCAGCCGCCGCCGUAA
Molecule: ribosomal RNA, 500 nt
Filed under: uncultured bacterium
Lineage: Bacteria
Description: partial 16S ribosomal RNA
Rfam family: Bacterial small subunit ribosomal RNA
Source: RNAcentral